RNAcentral lists this ribosomal RNA (512 nucleotides) under uncultured bacterium. RNAcentral's name for it is "bacterial SSU rRNA". It matches the Rfam family "Bacterial small subunit ribosomal RNA", at positions 28 to 526 of the family's 1533-position model. The record is from RNAcentral.
GACGAACGCUGGCGGCGUGCUUAACACAUGCAAGUGGAGCGACGAACCGGGGCUUGCCCCGGGGCAGAGCCGCGAACGGGUGAGUAACACGUGGGUAACCUACCUCGAUGACCGGGACAACCCGAGGAAACUCGGGCUAAUACCGGAUGUGCUCCUUUGACAUCAGUCUUUGGAGGAAAGAUAGCUUUGGCCUUCGCAUCGAGAUGGGCCCGCGGCGCAUUAGCUUGUUGGUGGGGUAACGGCCUACCAAGGCUUCGAUGCGUAGCUGGUCUGAGAGGACGAUCAGCCACACUGGGACUGAGACACGGCCCAGACUCCUACGGGAGGCAGCAGUGGGGAAUCUUGCACAAUGCGCGAAAGCGUGAUGCAGCAACGCCGCGUGGGGGAAGAAGGCCUUCGGGUUGUAAACCCCUUUCAGUUGGGACGAAGCUUCGACGGUGAAUAGCCGGCUGGAGUGACGGUACCUUCAGAAGAAGCCCCGGCUAACUACGUGCCAGCCGCCGCCGUAAUAC